UUUUGUUGAUUACUUCCAUGACUAAUGCAAUUUUUUCUGCUCUUUUAUUUGGAAUACAGAGUACGUCACUGAAAUAAUAUUUAAUCCGAGGGAAGCUAUUAGAUUAGCAGUUGAUUCAUCUGUGUCUUAUCUGUCAGGAAUAUUUAGUGCCAGUGGAGAUUCAGGAGUCACUGAAAUUGUGAAAUAUGGUGGCACUGCAUUGGAUGAGGCUACAGAAUGGAUCAGAACCCCAGUGAGCUACUUAUUCCACUUAUUUGAAGACAUCUUGGAUGUAGCAAUCAUUUAUCCAGGGGACAUUGCCACUGAAGCAGUUCUGCAAAUUUUAAGUGGGAUCAAGACCAUUUCUUCAACCAUAUUUGGGUACCUUGAAGCUUGGUUUCCCAAAAUGAGCACUGAUCCCGCAGAACUGGCUGAAAUUGUUGUAGAGGACGCCACAGACAUAAAGACCACUGUCUCUAAUUACCUAACCAGUCUGUUUGCAGUGGAUGAAGGUGGUAUUCCUGACAUUAGCUUUGAUCCCAUGAAAGUUGUCACAGACACUGUUGAGGAGUUUGAUGACAGGAGGGAUAUGCUCUUGGUCUAUCUCUCAAACAUGCUCAUGGAAGACAAAGACGACACACCGCAAGUGAUAAGACGAAAAGGUUUGUGUCAAUAUUCAUUCACUCACUACUCAAUACCUCUGUUAAUAUAUAAUAUAAUAU
RNAcentral lists this long non-coding RNA (701 nucleotides) under Sinocyclocheilus anshuiensis. RNAcentral's name for it is "lncRNA (ENSSANG00000048798.1)". Lineage: Eukaryota; Metazoa; Chordata; Actinopteri; Cypriniformes; Cyprinidae. The record is from RNAcentral.